This 484-nucleotide ribosomal RNA is filed under the name uncultured bacterium. RNAcentral describes it as "partial 16S ribosomal RNA". It matches the Rfam family "Bacterial small subunit ribosomal RNA", at positions 30 to 507 of the family's 1533-position model. The record is from RNAcentral.
AUUGAACGCUGGCGGCAGGCCUAACACAUGCAAGUCGAGCGGAUGAAGGGAGCUUGCUCCUGGAUUCAGCGGCGGACGGGUGAGUAAUGCCUAGGAAUCUGCCUGGUAGUGGGGGAUAACGUCCGGAAACGGGCGCUAAUACCGCAUACGUCCUGAGGGAGAAAGUGGGGGAUCUUCGGACCUCACGCUAUCAGAUGAGCCUAGGUCGGAUUAGCUAGUUGGUGGGGUAAAGGCCUACCAAGGCGACGAUCCGUAACUGGUCUGAGAGGAUGAUCAGUCACACUGGAACUGGGACACGGUACAGACUCCUACGGGAGGCAGCAGUGGGGAAUAUUGGACAAUGGGCGAAAGCCUGAUCCAGCCAUGCCGCGUGUGUGAAGAAGGUCUUCGGAUUGUAAAGCACUUUAAGUUGGGAGGAAGGGCAGUAAGUUAAUACCUUGCUGUUUUGACGUUACCAACAGAAUAAGCACCGGCUAACUUCGUG